Molecule: ribosomal RNA, 460 nt
Filed under: uncultured bacterium
Lineage: Bacteria
Description: partial 16S ribosomal RNA
Rfam family: Bacterial small subunit ribosomal RNA
Source: RNAcentral
CCUACGGGAGGCAGCAGUGAGGAAUAUUGGUCAAUGGCCGGAAGGCUGAACCAGCCAUGCCGCGUGAAGGUCAGUGCCCUAUGGGCGUUAAACUUCUUUUGUGCGGGAGCAAUAAUGGUCACGUGUGGCCAGACGAGAGUACCGUACGAAUAAGCAUCGGCUAACUCCGUUCCAGCAGCCGCGGUAAUACGGGGGAAGCAAGCGUUAUCCGGAUUUAUUGGGGUUAAAGGGUGCGGAGGCUGUGAGGUAAGUCAGCGGUGAAAUGCCCCCGCUCAACGGGGUGAAGUGCCAUUGAUACUGUUUUGCUGGAAAGCGGAUGCGGUGGGAGGAAUGUGUGGUGUAGCGGUGAAAUGCAUAGAUAUCACACAGAACACCGAUUGCGAAGGCAGCUCACGAAUCCGCGAUUGACGCUGAUGCACGAAAGCGUGGGUAGCAAACAGGAUUAGAUACCCGAGUAGUC